GGGCUUGAAUGGAAUUGACAGCGAGCAGAAAUGGUGGGUAAGCAUGCAGUGCAUCGGUGAUUGGCACUUAAAUCUCAGUUAUCAAAAUUUUAUCUGGCGAAACUAAUUACGCUCUUGCUGCUUAAUCGAAUCAUAGUAGAUUGGCUUAAUCCUGGCACUAGGUGCUAAGACGAGACAUCACUCGGAAGCUGUGGCUUCGAAGCGUUCCGAUUUAGUGGUGCAGUUACAUCGGAGAUAGUUUGUACUUGCCUUGAAGUGCAGAUGAAAAAUUAAAGGAUAAGGCAAUGGUUGAUGGCUUUGGUUCUGCCGUUGCUCGAAAACUUAGGCAAAGAUAAGCAUGUAGAAAGCUUAUGAUUUCCUCGUUUGGACGGGAGUUCGAUCCUCCCCAGGUCCACAU
Molecule: transfer-messenger RNA, 397 nt
Filed under: Bacteroidaceae
Lineage: Bacteria; Pseudomonadati; Bacteroidota; Bacteroidia; Bacteroidales
Also listed under: 1 other name
Description: Bacteroides sp900552405 Standard tmRNA
Rfam family: transfer-messenger RNA
About the family: Bacterial tmRNA, also known as 10Sa RNA or SsrA, is named for its dual tRNA and mRNA-like properties. Its role is to liberate the mRNA from a stalled ribosome.
Source: RNAcentral